RNAcentral lists this ribosomal RNA (118 nucleotides) under Candidatus Epulonipiscium viviparus. Lineage: Bacteria; Bacillati; Bacillota; Clostridia; Lachnospirales; Lachnospiraceae. The record is from RNAcentral.
UUUGGUGGUGAUGCGUCUUUUGGAAACACCCGUACCCAUACCGAACACGAUGGUUAAGCAUAAGCCGGCCGAAGGUACUUAGUUGGAGACGACUAGGGAGAAUAGGUGGCUGCCAAAA